Long non-coding RNA from Solanum tuberosum (potato), 339 nucleotides. RefSeq lists it as uncharacterized. The record is from RefSeq and is a predicted model, not a curated record. The transcript has 3 exons. Lineage: Eukaryota; Viridiplantae; Streptophyta; Magnoliopsida; Solanales; Solanaceae.
AAAUUGAAGAAGUUGAAAAAGAAUGUCCAGGUGCUCCUUUGAGUAUCGAUUAGUUUAAUGAAGUAGCUUUUUGCAAAUCUUUUGAUAUAUAGAAUGUAUGUCUAGGUGACCUUUUGAGUAUAUAUUAGUUUGGAUGAAGAAAAUAUGCAGCUGGAUCUUGGUAGUUGAAGAUUAUUGGAGUAGUUUUGCAAUUCUUUUGUUGGGUUUUUAAGAGAAUAUUUUACAAACAUUAUGUGAAGUUCUGUGUUUUUAAUUUUCAAUGUUAAAUAGACUUAUUUUUUAUAAGAUAUUUGCUCUUGUUGAUCAUGUGAGGAUCUUGAUAAUCAAAAUUUGUAGAAA